UUGGACCUGAUAUCAGGCAAGGUUACCCGCUGAACUUAA
This 39-nucleotide ribosomal RNA is filed under the name Phytophthora megakarya. RNAcentral describes it as "partial 28S ribosomal RNA". The record is from RNAcentral. Lineage: Eukaryota; Oomycota; Peronosporomycetes; Peronosporales; Peronosporaceae.